GAGGAUAUAGCUCAGUGGUAAUGUGCUUGCCUAACAUGCAUGAGACCCUGGGUUCAAUCCCCAGUACCACCC
RNAcentral lists this transfer RNA (72 nucleotides) under Ictidomys tridecemlineatus (thirteen-lined ground squirrel). Its description in RNAcentral is "Spermophilus tridecemlineatus (thirteen-lined ground squirrel) tRNA". It matches the Rfam family "tRNA". From Rfam's summary of the family: Transfer RNA (tRNA) molecules are approximately 80 nucleotides in length. Their secondary structure includes four short double-helical elements and three loops (D, anti-codon, and T loops). The record is from Rfam by way of RNAcentral. Lineage: Eukaryota; Metazoa; Chordata; Mammalia; Rodentia; Sciuridae.